GCGCCCUUAGCUCAAUUGGAUAGAGCGUCUGACUACGGAUCAGAAGGUUGGGGAUUCGAGUUCUCCAGGGCGCGCCA
Molecule: transfer RNA, 77 nt
Filed under: Terrilactibacillus laevilacticus
Lineage: Bacteria; Bacillati; Bacillota; Bacilli; Caryophanales; Bacillaceae
Also listed under: 1 other name
Description: tRNA-Arg
Rfam family: tRNA
About the family: Transfer RNA (tRNA) molecules are approximately 80 nucleotides in length. Their secondary structure includes four short double-helical elements and three loops (D, anti-codon, and T loops). Further hydrogen bonds mediate the characteristic L-shaped molecular structure. tRNAs have two regions of fundamental functional importance: the anti-codon, which is responsible for specific mRNA codon recognition, and the 3' end, to which the tRNAs corresponding amino acid is attached (by aminoacyl-tRNA synthetases). tRNAs cope with the degeneracy of the genetic code in two manners: having more than one tRNA (with a specific anti-codon) for a particular amino acid; and 'wobble' base-pairing, i.e. permitting non-standard base-pairing at the 3rd anti-codon position.
Source: RNAcentral